RNAcentral lists this ribosomal RNA (253 nucleotides) under uncultured bacterium. RNAcentral describes it as "partial 16S ribosomal RNA". It matches the Rfam family "Bacterial small subunit ribosomal RNA", at positions 524 to 776 of the family's 1533-position model. The record is from RNAcentral.
UACAGAGGUGGCAAGCGUUGUCCGGAAUUAUUGGGCGUAAAGAGCUCGUAGGCGGUCUGUCGCGUCUGCUGUGAAAACUCGGGGCUUAACCCCGGGCCUGCAGUGGGUACGGGCAGACUAGAGUGCGGUAGGGGAGACUGGAAUUCCUGGUGUAGCGGUGAAAUGCGCAGAUAUCAGGAGGAACACCGGUGGCGAAGGCGGGUCUCUGGGCCGUAACUGACGCUGAGGAGCGAAAGCAUGGGGAGCGAACAGG